This 468-nucleotide ribosomal RNA is filed under the name uncultured bacterium. RNAcentral's name for it is "partial 16S ribosomal RNA". It matches the Rfam family "Bacterial small subunit ribosomal RNA", at positions 28 to 507 of the family's 1533-position model. The record is from RNAcentral.
GACGAACGCUGGCGGCGUGCUUAACACAUGCAAGUCGAACGGAAAGGCCCUGCUUUUGUUGGUUUCUCGAUUGGCGAACGGGGGAGUAACACGUGAGUAACCUGCCCUUGUCUGUGGGAUAACUUCACGAAACUCGGGCUAAUACCGGGUAUGAGCUCCUGCUGCAUUGUGGUGGUUGGUAAGUUUCGGCUGUUGUGGCUGGGUUCGCGGCUUAUCAGCUUGUUGGUGUGGUAGUGGCUGACCAAGGCUUUGACGGGAAGCCGGCCUGAGAGGGUGACCGGCCACAUUGGGACUGAGAUACGGCCCAGAAUCCUACGGGAGGCAGCAGUGGGGAAUAUUGCACAAUGGGCGGAAGCCUGAUGCAGAAACGCCGCGUGCGGGAUGACCGCCUUCGGGUUGUAAACCGAUUUGGAAUGUGACGAAGCGUGCGUGACGGUAAUGGGUAAAGAAGCAACGGCUAACUACGUG